This is a long non-coding RNA of Homo sapiens (human), 590 nucleotides long. The record is from Ensembl. NCBI's taxonomy places the organism in Eukaryota, Metazoa, Chordata, Mammalia, Primates, Hominidae.
AAGUUAAGCAAAUUCUUUCCAGAGAGAAGGUGAGCCUGACAGACUAAAACGUUGAGCACGGAUGAUACAGCAGAAAUAACAUUUCCAGUGUAAUGAGAGAUAAAGAGGAAUACUGCCCACCGAGGAAAUGACUUUCUUCACCAUGCUGACCACACUGCACAGCGCCCGAUCCGGCUGGUGAGGAUGGGGAGGUGGGAAGAAUCUCAAAGCACUGGACAGGGUGAGGACUCAGGAAGUCACGGGGUCAGCCCUACAGCAUCAGCUCCUCUCUGUUGUUGGAGAGGCCCUGAGCCCCAUUACUCACUAUACGAGGACCAGAGUGUCUUUGGCAGGUGGAGGCUGGCUCACGGGAGAACACCAAGUGAGGGGGCUCCUCUGUGAACCCAAGAAACUUCAAGGAACCCCACAGCGUCUCCCUUAUGACCUCCCAUCUCCAGAUUAGGAAGCUAUGGAUUCCCAGAGGGUCCUUUGGAAGUAUCUAGAAAUGUCCAGGGUGAGUCUAGCCAGGUUCACCUUCAGGAUGCUUUCCCCAUGCCCUGUGGUUGAGACGGCUCCGAUGUCAUUGUCGGCAUAACCUCCAGCUCCUGCUC